Microcebus murinus (gray mouse lemur) is the source of this 568-nucleotide non-coding RNA. The record is from RefSeq and is a predicted model, not a curated record. Lineage: Eukaryota; Metazoa; Chordata; Mammalia; Primates; Cheirogaleidae.
UAAAAAGUGUGCAGACGGUAACUGGGCUGAGGAGCUGUUUGCAGAGCGUCUGAAGAUGAAUGCCAGAGGACUUGGAUCUCAGCUAAAGGACAGUAUUCCAGUUACUGAACUUUCAGCAAGUGGACCUUUUGAAAGUCACGAUCUUCUUCGGAAAGGUUUUUCCUGUGUGAAAAAUGAACUUUUGCCUAGUCAUCCUCUUGAAUUAUCAGAAAAAAAUUUCCAGCUCAACCAAGAUAAAAUGAAUUUUUCCACGCUGAGAAACAUACAAGGUCUAUUUGCUCCACUGAAAUUACAGAUGGAAUUCAAGGCACUGUAGCAGGUUCAGCGUCUUCCAUUUCUUCCGAGCUCAAACCUUUCACUGGAUAUUCUGAGGGGUAACGAUGAGACUAUUGGAUUUGAGGAUAUUCUUAAUGAUCCAUCACAAAGUGAAAUAAUGGGAGAACCACACUUGAUGGUGGAAUAUAAACUCGGCUCUGAUGCUACAGCUUUUGCUUCAAGUGACCUACCUAGUUCUCUUGUGACAUUUGGCCAAGGAAAGGUCCUGGGAUCAGAUCCAGUAUCAGACUGA